This 898-nucleotide unclassified non-coding RNA is filed under the name Hevea brasiliensis (rubber tree). Lineage: Eukaryota; Viridiplantae; Streptophyta; Magnoliopsida; Malpighiales; Euphorbiaceae. The record is from RNAcentral.
AACCCAAAAAAAAAAAAAAAAGCAGCUCGAAUAAGCUUAACUGGAUGCCACAAUCUACAGGGUUAGAUAACAAAGCAAACCUUUGAAACAAACUCUCCCAAAUUUCCUAAAAUGUGGGACCACAGCAACCUGACAAAUCUAUUCCACACUUCCAUUGGAGAAACUACAGCCAAUGUCUGGAGAUGUAAAACAGAUCAGAUCACACAUCAAGGAUGUAGUAUCAAUCUUUAGGGGCAACAAAAAGUUUAGAAUGGAUUCAAAAUGUUUACCCAAAAAGAACACAAGUAGUAAAAACUACAGAAGCAAUGUAAUUCCAAAAUUGAAUAAACAAAGUUCUCUACUCACAACGUUAUAUAUACCACAUUUGAAAAAUACACCAUACUCAUACAACUAAUGUCAAGUAGCCAUAACUAUACAAUAAAUUUGGAAAAAACUAACCAUGAUAUCACUUGUCUCCUCAUAUUGACUAAUGCCUAUCAUCUCAAACAUCAGCAUACAUUCAUCAUACAUGUCCAUAUCAAUAGGAAAUUCUUUAAAGGGUAGAGCUUAAUACAAAAUCAACAAAUUCAAGUAAACAUAUACACAUCACACUAAUUUCGUAUACAGUUCCACAUGUUAAUAAUAAUUAGAUUGCUCACUAGUGAAAUAACCCUUAAGGUGUGUUUGGGCAAGCAAUAGAAACUCAAUGACUUUAUCUGAAGAUGUACCACUUGGGCCAUCAACAACAUAAUGACUGAGGAGCAGUAGCUCAAGAAAGAAAUUCAUUGCCACCUAAUUUCCAAAGACACCUUUUUCCAUUGGCCACGGAUUCAUUAUGACAUGGAUUACAUUGAAAAAUAUGUGCAACCUAAAAAAAAACCAAGAAUCGUCUGCAUUCCAAUAACAAAAAGGAGAUUGU